RNAcentral lists this ribosomal RNA (332 nucleotides) under Salmonella enterica subsp. enterica. Its description in RNAcentral is "partial 16S ribosomal RNA". It matches the Rfam family "Bacterial small subunit ribosomal RNA", at positions 100 to 435 of the family's 1533-position model. Lineage: Bacteria; Pseudomonadati; Pseudomonadota; Gammaproteobacteria; Enterobacterales; Enterobacteriaceae. RNAcentral also lists the same sequence under 1 other name. The record is from RNAcentral.
GGACGGGUGAGUAAUGUCUGGGAAACUGCCUGAUGGAGGGGGAUAACUACUGGAAACGGUGGCUAAUACCGCAUAACGUCGCAAGACCAAAGAGGGGGACCUUCGGGCCUCUUGCCAUCAGAUGUGCCCAGAUGGGAUUAGCUUGUUGGUGAGGUAACGGCUCACCAAGGCGACGAUCCCUAGCUGGUCUGAGAGGAUGACCAGCCACACUGGAACUGAGACACGGUCCAGACUCCUACGGGAGGCAGCAGUGGGGAAUAUUGCACAAUGGGCGCAAGCCUGAUGCAGCCAUGCCGCGUGUAUGAAGAAGGCCUUCGGGUUGUAAAGUACUU